RNAcentral lists this long non-coding RNA (1893 nucleotides) under Ananas comosus (pineapple). RNAcentral describes it as "long non-coding RNA (ACOM_LNC028442)". Lineage: Eukaryota; Viridiplantae; Streptophyta; Magnoliopsida; Poales; Bromeliaceae. The record is from RNAcentral.
AAGUUAACCCAUCUUUAAUCAUUUAAUAACUAUGGUAAAACUAAGGGUAAAUUGCACUGUUACCCCCUGAACUUUUGGCGUAGUUUCACUUUAUCUCUCGAACUCCUAAAAUAGACAUCUAACCCCCUAAACUCUAAUAUUUCGUUCAUGUUACCCCUUCCGUCAGUUUUUCGUCAAGCUUUGUUAACCGGAAACUGACGGAAGGGGUAAAACGAAUGAAAUAUUAGAGUUUAGGAUGUUAGAUGUCUAUUUUAGGAGUUUGGGGGAUUAAGUGAAACUCGCCAAAAGUUCAGGAGGUAGUAAUGCAAUUUACUCCGUAAGGGAUUCUUGACUAUAAAUUAUUUUAUUAUAAUAUGUUACUUAUGGAUUGACUACUAAUCAUCAAGUAAGUAAUCAUACUUGAUUUUGAAUUUAUAUAUAUUUUUUAUCCUAAAAUAAAUCAUACCAUAAUUUAUCUUACAUUUUAUUGUAAUAAAAUAAAAGUGAAAGAAAUGAAUUAGAGUGGCUUAAAGAUAAAAAAAAGAGCGAUACUAACUACCUACGAUACUCGAACACUCUACUAUCCUGGUGUACUCGCUAAUAUGAUUAAUUUACAAUAGGUGUCCUCACUCGGAUAUAGAGAUUUUAAUUCUCAGUUAAUUUUCUGUAAUACUCGUUUGUCCCUUUUAUCUUUAGAAGUAUUGUUCUAUAAAAUACACUUAAAUAAAAUUUUUUUACUUCAUUUCAGCCAAUUAUAAAUUUUUAAUAUAAAGGCUAAAUUACAGAAAAUUCCCUUGUAAUAACCCGCUUUUUCAUUUUCCCCCCUAACAUUUAAAAACCUAUACUUUGCCCCCCUGUAAAAUGAAAAAUAUUCACGGGGGGGUUACGGUGUGUAAAAUGACCAUUUUGCCCCUCGCCAUUGUCGUCUUCUUCCCCAUCUUCCUCAGUCGUCCCUUCGUUCGGCCGCGAUUUCCACCUCAAUCGGCCGCGAUUUCUCUCCAUUUCCUUCUCCAUCUGCUCUCCUUCUCCUCCUGCACCCUCGCCGCCCUCGAUUUCGGCGACAGUAGAAGAAAAUCGAGGUGGGCGACAGUAGGAGAAUGGCAAAAAAAGCGAAGGCGAGGCGGCGAAGGACAGCGAAGGGGAUGUGGGUGAGGGCGAGGCAGUGGAGAACGGCGAGGCGGCGACGAGGUGGCGACCCGGAGGGAGGCGAAGCAAUAGGAAGAUGGCGGAGGGGUAUUUUCGGCAUAAAAAUAUAUUUUUUAACGGAACCCGAACAGAACCCUAACGGUAGGGGGUGAAGUGCACAUUUUUUAUUUUACAGGGGGGCAAAAUGUAGGUUUUUAAAUGUCAGGGAGGGAAAGUAAAAAAGCGGGUUAUUACAAGGGAGUUUUCUGUAUUUUAGCCUAAUAUAAAAAUAUAAAAAAAAAUUUAUAGUAAAAAUUUGGAUAAAUUAUAUUGUUACCCCCUGAACUUUUAGCGAGUUUCACUUAAUCCCCCAUACUCCUAAAAUAGAUAUUUAACACCCUAAACUCUAAUAUUUUAUUCAUUUUACCCCUUCCGUCAGUUUCCGGUUAACGGAGCUUGACGGAAAACUGACGGAAGGGAUAACAUGAACGAAAUAUUAGAGUUUAGGGGGUUAGAUGUCCAUUUUAGAAGUUCGAGAGGUAAAGUGAAACUUCGCCCAAAGUUCAGGGAGUAACAAUGCAAUUUACUCGUAAAGCUAACACAACUAACAGCAGAAAUAUUGAUGAUAAUUUUCUGUUUACAUGGACAUAUGUGAUAUUUUAAACUCUAUAGAAGCAUUAGAGAUAUCAAUGGGUAGGAUUCGGGGCGAAUUUUUAAAAAUCCGAAUCCAAACCCGACUCCAAACCCGAGACCCGAACCUGAACCCCAACUAAAGGUGUAAAACGAGCC